This 133-nucleotide non-coding RNA is filed under the name Deinococcus radiodurans. RNAcentral's name for it is "SAM-I sequence". It matches the Rfam family "SAM riboswitch aptamer (S box leader)". Rfam says of the family: The SAM riboswitch is found upstream of a number of genes which code for proteins involved in methionine or cysteine biosynthesis in Gram-positive bacteria. The SAM riboswitch acts at the level of transcription termination control. The predicted structure consists of a complex stem-loop region followed by a single stem loop terminator region. RNAcentral also lists the same sequence under 1 other name. Lineage: Bacteria; Thermotogati; Deinococcota; Deinococci; Deinococcales; Deinococcaceae. The record is from RNAcentral.
CCUUUAUCCAGAGUCGGCGCAGGGACCUGGCCCCAUGACCGCCGCAGCAACCGGCCCUCAUCACGGCAGCGGUGCUUUCCAGACCCGCGCGAGCAGCGCCCGACGAUGGGCGGCGCCGCGGGAACGAUAAAGG